Long non-coding RNA from Oncorhynchus tshawytscha (Chinook salmon), 2003 nucleotides. The record is from Ensembl. Lineage: Eukaryota; Metazoa; Chordata; Actinopteri; Salmoniformes; Salmonidae.
UCAUUAUUAGUGUGUUGAAGUAGUCAGUAUUAGUGUGGUGUAGUAGUCAGUAUUAGUGUGGUGUAGUAGUCAGUAUUAGUGUGUUGUAGUACUCAGUAUUAGUGUGUUGUAGUACUCAGUAUUAGUGUGUUGUAGUACUCAGUAUUAGUGUGUUCUAGUACUCAGUAUCCGUGUGGUUAGUACUCAGUAUCAGUGUGUUGUAGAACUCAGUAUUAGUUUUUGUUGUGCUCAGUAUUAGUGUGUUGUAGUACUCAGUAUUAGUGUGUUGUAGUACUCCGUAUUAGUGUGUUGUAGUACUCAGUAUUGGUGUGUUGUAGUACUCAGUAUUAGUGGGCUGUAGUACUCAAUGUGGUGUAGUACUCAGUAUUAGUGUGGUGUAGUACUCAGUAUUAGUGUGGUGUAGUACUCAGUAUUAGUUAUUAGUAGUACUCAGUAUUAGUGUGUUGUAGUACUCAGUAUUAGUGGUGUGUAGUACUCAGUAUUAGUGUGGUGUAGUACUCAGCAUUAGUGUGUUGUAGUACUCAGUAUUAGUGUGGUGUAGUACUCAGUGUUUGUGUGAUGUAGUACUCAGUAUUAGUGUGUUGUAGUACUCAGUAUCAGUGUGUUGUAGUACUCAGUAUUAGUGUGUUGUAGUACUCAGUAUUGCUGUGUUGUUGUACUCAUUGUUAAUGUGUUGUAGUACUCAGUAUUAGUUGCUUGUAGUACUCAGUAUUAGUGUGUUCUAGUACUCAUUAUUAGUGUGUUGAAGUAGUCAGUAUUAGUGUGGUGUAGUACUCAGUAUUUGUGUGAUGUAGUACUCAGUAUUAGUGUGUUGUAGUACUCAGUAUCAGUGUGGUGUAGUACUCAGUAUCAGUGUGUUGUAGUACUCAGUAUUGCUGCGUUGUAGUACUCAGUAUUAGUGUGUUGUAGUACUCAGUAUUAGUGUGUUGUAGUACUCAGUAUUUGUGUGAUGUAGUACUCAGUAUCAGUGUGUUGUAGUACUCAGUAUCAGUGUGUUGUAGUACUCAGUAUUGCUGCGUUGUAGUACUCAUUGUUAAUGUGUUGUAGUACUCAGUAUUAGUUGCUUGUAGUACUCAGUAUUAGUGUGUUCUAGUACUCAUUAUUAGUGUGUUGAAGUAGUCAGUAUUAGUGUGUUGUAGUACUCAGUAUUAGUGUGUUGUAGUACUCAGUAUCAGUGUGUUGUAGUACUCAGUAUCAGUGUGGUGUAGUACUCAAUGUGCUGUAGUACUCAUUGUUAAUGUGUUGUAGUACUCAGUAUUAGUGUGUUGUAGUACUCAGUAUUAGUGUGUUGUAGUACUCAGUAUUAGUGUGGUGUAGUACUCAAUGUGUUGUAGUACUCAUUGUUAAUGUGUUGUAGUACUCAGUAUUAGUGUGUUGUAGUACUCAGUAUUAGUGUGUUGUAGUACUCAGUAUUAGUGUGUUGUAGUACUCAGUAUUAGUGUGGUGUAGUACUCAGUAUUCGUGUUGUGUAGUACUUAGUAUUCAUGUGCUGUAGUACUCAGUAUUAGUGUGUUCUAGAACUCAGUAUUAGUGUGUUGUAGUACUCAUUAUUAGUGUAUUGUAGUACUCAGUAUUAGUGUGUUGUAGUACUCAGUAUUAGUGUAUUGUGGUACUCAGUAUUAGUGUGUUGUAGUACUCAGUAUCAGUGUGUUCUAGUACUCAGUAUUCGUGUUGUGUAGUACUUAGUAUUCAUGUGCUGUAGUACUCAGUAUUAGUGUGUUCUAGUACUCAGUAUUAGUGUGUUGUAGUACUCAGUAUUAGUGUAUUGUAGUACUCAGUAUUAGUGUGUUGUAGUACUCAGUAUCAGUGUGUUCUAGUAGUCAGUAUUAGUGUGUUGUAGUACUCAGUAUCAGUGUGUUCUAGUACUCAGUAUUAGUGUGUUGUAGUACUCAGUAUCAGUGUGUUGUAGUACUCAGUAUUAGUGUGUUGUAGUACUCAGUUUUAGUGUGUGAGUGUGUGUGCGCGCGCGUGUGUGUGUGUGUGUGUGCGUGUGUGUGUGUGUG